This 2900-nucleotide ribosomal RNA is filed under the name Escherichia coli. RNAcentral describes it as "23S ribosomal RNA". It matches the Rfam family "Bacterial large subunit ribosomal RNA". Lineage: Bacteria; Pseudomonadati; Pseudomonadota; Gammaproteobacteria; Enterobacterales; Enterobacteriaceae. The record is from RNAcentral.
UUAAGCGACUAAGCGUACACGGUGGAUGCCCUGGCAGUCAGAGGCGAUGAAGGACGUGCUAAUCUGCGAUAAGCGUCGGUAAGGUGAUAUGAACCGUUAUAACCGGCGAUUUCCGAAUGGGGAAACCCAGUGUGUUUCGACACACUAUCAUUAACUGAAUCCAUAGGUUAAUGAGGCGAACCGGGGGAACUGAAACAUCUAAGUACCCGAGGAAAAGAAAUCAACCGAGAUUCCCCCAGUAGCGGCGAGCGAACGGGGAGGAGCCCAGAGCCUGAAUCAGUGUGUGUGUUAGUGGAAGCGUCUGGAAAGGCGCGCGAUACAGGGUGACAGCCCCGUACACAAAAAUGCACAUAUUGUGAGCUCGAUGAGUAGGGCGGGACACGUGGUAUCCUGUCUGAAUAUGGGGGGACCAUCCUCCAAGGCUAAAUACUCCUGACUGACCGAUAGUGAACCAGUACCGUGAGGGAAAGGCGAAAAGAACCCCGGCGAGGGGAGUGAAAAAGAACCUGAAACCGUGUACGUACAAGCAGUGGGAGCCUCUUUUAUGGGGUGACUGCGUACCUUUUGUAUAAUGGGUCAGCGACUUAUAUUCUGUAGCAAGGUUAACCGAAUAGGGGAGCCGAAGGGAAACCGAGUCUUAACUGGGCGUUAAGUUGCAGGGUAUAGACCCGAAACCCGGUGAUCUAGCCAUGGGCAGGUUGAAGGUUGGGUAACACUAACUGGAGGACCGAACCGACUAAUGUUGAAAAAUUAGCGGAUGACUUGUGGCUGGGGGUGAAAGGCCAAUCAAACCGGGAGAUAGCUGGUUCUCCCCGAAAGCUAUUUAGGUAGCGCCUCGUGAAUUCAUCUCCGGGGGUAGAGCACUGUUUCGGCAAGGGGGUCAUCCCGACUUACCAACCCGAUGCAAACUGCGAAUACCGGAGAAUGUUAUCACGGGAGACACACGGCGGGUGCUAACGUCCGUCGUGAAGAGGGAAACAACCCAGACCGCCAGCUAAGGUCCCAAAGUCAUGGUUAAGUGGGAAACGAUGUGGGAAGGCCCAGACAGCCAGGAUGUUGGCUUAGAAGCAGCCAUCAUUUAAAGAAAGCGUAAUAGCUCACUGGUCGAGUCGGCCUGCGCGGAAGAUGUAACGGGGCUAAACCAUGCACCGAAGCUGCGGCAGCGACGCUGAUGCGUUGUUGGGUAGGGGAGCGUUCUGUAAGCCUGUGAAGGUGUGCUGUGAGGCAUGCUGGAGGUAUCAGAAGUGCGAAUGCUGACAUAAGUAACGAUAAAGCGGGUGAAAAGCCCGCUCGCCGGAAGACCAAGGGUUCCUGUCCAACGUUAAUCGGGGCAGGGUGAGUCGACCCCUAAGGCGAGGCCGAAAGGCGUAGUCGAUGGGAAACAGGUUAAUAUUCCUGUACUUGGUGUUACUGCGAAGGGGGACGGAGAAGGCUAUGUUGGCCGGGCGACGGUUGUCCCGGUUUAAGCGUGUAGGCUGGUUUUCCAGGCAAAUCCGGAAAAUCAAGGCUGAGGCGUGAUGACGAGGCACUACGGUGCUGAAGCAACAAAUGCCCUGCUUCCAGGAAAAGCCUCUAAGCAUCAGGUAACAUCAAAUCGUACCCCAAACCGACACAGGUGGUCAGGUAGAGAAUACCAAGGCGCUUGAGAGAACUCGGGUGAAGGAACUAGGCAAAAUGGUGCCGUAACUUCGGGAGAAGGCACGCUGAUAUGUAGGUGAAGUCCCUCGCGGAUGGAGCUGAAAUCAGUCGAAGAUACCAGCUGGCUGCAACUGUUUAUUAAAAACACAGCACUGUGCAAACACGAAAGUGGACGUAUACGGUGUGACGCCUGCCCGGUGCCGGAAGGUUAAUUGAUGGGGUCAGCGCAAGCGAAGCUCUUGAUCGAAGCCCCGGUAAACGGCGGCCGUAACUAUAACGGUCCUAAGGUAGCGAAAUUCCUUGUCGGGUAAGUUCCGACCUGCACGAAUGGCGUAAUGAUGGCCAGGCUGUCUCCACCCGAGACUCAGUGAAAUUGAACUCGCUGUGAAGAUGCAGUGUACCCGCGGCAAGACGGAAAGACCCCGUGAACCUUUACUAUAGCUUGACACUGAACAUUGAGCCUUGAUGUGUAGGAUAGGUGGGAGGCUUAGAAGUGUGGACGCCAGUCUGCAUGGAGCCGACCUUGAAAUACCACCCUUUAAUGUUUGAUGUUCUAACGUUGACCCGUGAUCCGGGUUGCGGACAGUGUCUGGUGGGUAGUUUGACUGGGGCGGUCUCCUCCUAAAGAGUAACGGAGGAGCACGAAGGUUGGCUAAUCCUGGUCGGACAUCAGGAGGUUAGUGCAAUGGCAUAAGCCAGCUUGACUGCGAGCGUGACGGCGCGAGCAGGUGCGAAAGCAGGUCAUAGUGAUCCGGUGGUUCUGAAUGGAAGGGCCAUCGCUCAACGGAUAAAAGGUACUCCGGGGAUAACAGGCUGAUACCGCCCAAGAGUUCAUAUCGACGGCGGUGUUUGGCACCUCGAUGUCGGCUCAUCACAUCCUGGGGCUGAAGUAGGUCCCAAGGGUAUGGCUGUUCGCCAUUUAAAGUGGUACGCGAGCUGGGUUUAGAACGUCGUGAGACAGUUCGGUCCCUAUCUGCCGUGGGCGCUGGAGAACUGAGGGGGGCUGCUCCUAGUACGAGAGGACCGGAGUGGACGCAUCACUGGUGUUCGGGUUGUCAUGCCAAUGGCACUGCCCGGUAGCUAAAUGCGGAAGAGAUAAGUGCUGAAAGCAUCUAAGCACGAAACUUGCCCCGAGAUGAGUUCUCCCUGACCCUUUAAGGGUCCUGAAGGAACGUUGAAGACGACGACGUUGAUAGGCCGGGUGUGUAAGCGCAGCGAUGCGUUGAGCUAACCGGUACUAAUGAACCGUGAGGCUUAACCUU